This 23-nucleotide non-coding RNA is filed under the name Rattus norvegicus (Norway rat). Lineage: Eukaryota; Metazoa; Chordata; Mammalia; Rodentia; Muridae. The record is from RNAcentral.
UAGGACAAAGGGCUGGCAGUGGU